RNAcentral lists this long non-coding RNA (605 nucleotides) under Heterocephalus glaber (naked mole-rat). Its description in RNAcentral is "lncRNA (ENSHGLG00100049034.1)". Lineage: Eukaryota; Metazoa; Chordata; Mammalia; Rodentia; Bathyergidae. The record is from RNAcentral.
CCCACCCCAAUAGGAUCUGGUGGAAGAAAAGUCAGGCAAACACCACUGGGAGAUCAGAACUUCUAGCUGGCUCUCUGCUGCCACAGCUCCACCAAAAGGGUGGGGAGGAAGAGGAACAUUGACCCAGAGCUCAGAGGAGAGGCAGGUGUGCUCAGGGCAGCCCCAGUUACUGGCCACAUGAGUGAAGCAUCUCACGGCUGGGAGGGGACAAGAGCCAGGUCCAAAUGGUCGGAGAAGUCAUGGAUGGAAGUGGGAACCCGAAGCCAGAGGAGAAGUCUUGCGCCUUCACUGGCCCAUGAGCCCCACCUGCUGCAGAAAGCACAGGGCUGGAUAAGGAAACUGCCGCUCAGACAGGACCACAGCACCCCUUAACAGGGCCUUGACAGAGUCUGGGGCAGACUGGACGCCUUAACACAUAAGCGGAGACCCCUGAUGUCCCUGCUUCCAACUGCACUCUGCACUCCAAGAAAAGAGAAAGUGAGCAGAAUGACUUGCAGACGUCUGGGCUUAGAAGAGAGAGAAGGGAGGGAAGAGAAGGUGACAUCUUGAUGUCCAUGGGGACAGCUCUGGGGCAGGGCACCUGUCUGGGUUAAGCCAUGGGGAGG